RNAcentral lists this ribosomal RNA (255 nucleotides) under uncultured bacterium. RNAcentral describes it as "partial 16S ribosomal RNA". It matches the Rfam family "Bacterial small subunit ribosomal RNA", at positions 15 to 266 of the family's 1533-position model. The record is from RNAcentral.
GAUCCUGGCUCAGGAUGAACGCUAGCUACAGGCUUAACACAUGCAAGUCGAGGGGCAUCAGGGUGUAGCAAUACACCGCUGGCGACCGGCGCACGGGUGAGUAACACGUAUCCAACCUGCCCUUUACUCGGGGAUGGCCUUUCGAAAGAAAGAUUAAUACCCGAUGGUAUAACAUGACCUCCUGGUUUUGUUAUUAAAGAAUUUCGGUAGAGGAUGGGGAUGCGCUCCGUUAGGCAGUUGGCGGGGUAACGGCCC